UGUUAAAAGUUUUGCAUCGUGAAGAUAGAAAGUCCCACACUCCCACUCCCAGCGAGUCGUCUGACCAUGUGUCCUGAUCCUGAAAGUGCUGUCGUUGCUGUCCGUAUGAAGAAAUGUCGUCUCGUACUAGAAAGUAGAAACUUGAAUGGAAUGGUAACAUUAACAGUUCCUUCAAUUUAUGUUUGGCAAUUCCAUCUGAUCAUGCGACUUGCCUUCCCAAAAUGUCGUCUCUUGCUGUAUGUUGCAUGGUUCGUCAAAAGAUGAGUUUUUUUCUCGCCAUUCGUCUAAGCUGAACCGAUAGUGAACCAAGUUUAAGC
RNAcentral lists this long non-coding RNA (317 nucleotides) under Daphnia pulex (common water flea). Its description in RNAcentral is "uncharacterized LOC124190193, transcript variant X2". The record is from RNAcentral. Lineage: Eukaryota; Metazoa; Arthropoda; Branchiopoda; Diplostraca; Daphniidae.